AACUAGUAAUAUUCAUUUACCCCUAUACCAGCCAAUAGAUCCUAGCCCUUCAACCAAUGAAGUUACCCUGUCUGAUUUAGACCUGCAGGUUUUGACCAUGCAGAAAAAAGAAAAAAUAAACUUAGAAUAUUUAGAAAAUGAUUACCUAUCAGCACAAAAUGAACAAAUAAGAAAUUGGUAGUUACAAACUUUUCCGAAAAAAUUAAUAGAUAAGUGCCAUAAAAGAUAUAAUAAAUUUUUAAAAGAACACAAACAGAAUAUUAAAUACUUUGACUGGCUAAAAGCUACUCUCAAAGAAAAAGGGUACUCUAUGCCAGACUUUAAAAUAAAUACUAUUGAAAGUCAAUAUCAGACUUUCGAGACAACAGAAGGAAGUGAAGAAGUAUACAUCCCCCUGAAAAAUCUCUUAUCAUAAACAAAGGACAGCUAGAAUCUAGAGCUUCACCAUAUAAAAUAAUUCAAGGAGAACAUAUCCAUAAAAUUGAACUACUUCCACAUAUAAUAUAACAAAAUAAUUAUACUAAUCUAUAUCUUCACUCUUUAGAAAAACAGACUACCCGCAUAGAAAACAUUAUAAAUAACCAUAUAAACAAAUUGAAGAAAAGAAAAAGUUAAUAAUGUACAAAAUAGGGUACAAAAACAGUUACCCGAAGUAUUUACAGAGUUGAAAGAAGUACAACUUCCAGUAAGUCUACAAAGGAAAGUGUAGAACUAGGUAAGAAAUAAGAGUAUACACAAAAAGAGAAGAGGGAAGGAGAAGAUGAGGGAUGGAAGUGGGUGAAGCAGGGAGCUGAUCUCUUAAGGCUCCUCUUCAGACUUGCUUCUCUUGCGAGGACUUCUUCUUCCUUUUAUAGAGUCCGGAACUCAAAGAAUUAUUCAAUAUUUUGUAUAAGUCUGCAUCUUUAAUAAUAUCUUUUUGGCAAGUGGUGCUUUACUGUGGCUAGUUGGAAGUACGGAUGAUGUUAGUGGAGGCAUUGUGCUGUCGGUA
RNAcentral lists this long non-coding RNA (988 nucleotides) under Amborella trichopoda. RNAcentral's name for it is "long non-coding RNA (ATRI_LNC000266)". Lineage: Eukaryota; Viridiplantae; Streptophyta; Magnoliopsida; Amborellales; Amborellaceae. The record is from RNAcentral.